GCUAACGGCUGAACUGGCAACUUGGAGAAGUGGCAAGUCUUCCAGUAUGGGGAGCAAACAGCUAUGGGUCAAGCCCGAUACCUUUAAGAGAAGUCUUAUUGUGAGGGCGAGUUGUAUAACACCAUAGGGCUGGCCGUCCCAUAUGAAAAGAUUUUAUUAGAAUUGAAUGAAACUUUGUUUAUAUAUUGAUAAUGACAGUAUAUAUAUCGUGUCUUGACUAAUUGCGUGCCAGCAGUCGCGGUAAUACGUAAGAGACUAGUGUUAUUCAUCUUAAUUAGGUUUAAAGGGUACCCAGACGGUCUAUAUAGCUUAUAAAAUGUUAGUAUAAGACUAGAGUUUUAUGUAAGAGGGCAGUACUUGAGGAGGAGAGAUGAAAUUUCGUGAUACCAAAGGGACUCUGUAAAGGCGAAGGCAGCCCUCUAUGUAAAAACUGACGUUGAAGGACGAAGGCACAGAGAACAAACAGGAUUAGAUACCCAAGUAGUCUUUGCAGUAAAUGAUGAAUGCCAUAGGUUAGAUAUAAAUAUAUAUAAUCCCUAUAUAUAAAAAUAUUGAAUAUAUCUGGUCUAUAAAUGAAAGUGUAAGCAUUUCACCUCAAGAGUAAUGUGGCAACGCAGGAACUGAAAUCACUAGACCGUUUCUGACACCAGUAGUGAAG
Molecule: ribosomal RNA, 658 nt
Filed under: Fusarium sambucinum
Lineage: Eukaryota; Fungi; Ascomycota; Sordariomycetes; Hypocreales; Nectriaceae
Also listed under: 1 other name
Description: SSU rRNA
Rfam family: Bacterial small subunit ribosomal RNA
Source: RNAcentral